UACGGAGGGAGCUAGCGUUGUUCGGAAUUACUGGGCGUAAAGCGCGCGUAGGCGGCUUUGUAAGUUAGAGGUGAAAGCCCGGGGCUCAACCCCGGAAUUGCCUUUAAGACUGCAUCGCUUGAAUCCGGGAGAGGUGAGUGGAAUUCCGAGUGUAGAGGUGAAAUUCGUAGAUAUUCGGAAGAACACCAGUGGCGAAAGGCGGCUCACUGGACCGGCAUUGACGCUGAGGUGCGAAAGCGUGGGGAGCAAACAGG
This 254-nucleotide ribosomal RNA is filed under the name uncultured bacterium. Its description in RNAcentral is "partial 16S ribosomal RNA". It matches the Rfam family "Bacterial small subunit ribosomal RNA", at positions 524 to 776 of the family's 1533-position model. The record is from RNAcentral.